AAAACAUGGUUUUUUGUUUAUAUAAAAAAUCUGGCCUGCUCAGUGAAUUUUAAAUAGCUGCAGUAUUUUGACUGUACAAAGGUAGCAUAAUCACUUGUCUUUUAAUUGAGGUCUGGAAUGAAUGGUUUGAUGAAAAAUAUACUUUAUUUAUUUUUAAUAAAAAAUUUAAUUUUUGAGUUAAAAAGCUUUGAAAUUUUUUUAUAGGACGAGAAGACCCUAUAGAACUUUAUUUAUAUAUUUUUAUAUUUUUUCUAGAUUAUAUAUUUUUAAUAAAAAUAUAUAAAUUUUGUUGGGGUGACAAAAAAAAUAAAAUAACUUUUUUUUAUUUUUACAUUUAUUUAUGUAUAUUUGAUCCUUUAUUUUGGAAAAAAGAAUAAGUUACCUUAGGGAUAACAGCGUUAUUAUUUUGGAGAGUUCAUAUCGAUGAAAUAGUUUGCGACCUCGAUGUUGGAUUAAAAUAAGAUAUAGAAGUAGAAUGUUAUAUUCUUGGUCUGUUCGACCUUUAAAUUUUUACAUGAUCU
This 521-nucleotide ribosomal RNA is filed under the name Orthotylinae gen. ZANCGEN4 sp. Msp060. Its description in RNAcentral is "partial large subunit ribosomal RNA". The stretch from base 389 to 521 matches the Rfam family "Bacterial large subunit ribosomal RNA", at positions 2473 to 2606 of the family's 2925-position model. Lineage: Eukaryota; Metazoa; Arthropoda; Insecta; Hemiptera; Miridae. The record is from RNAcentral.